AAUAACACUAACUGUGGGUGAUUCAUAAUUUCCAUCUUCCCUCCAAACUAGGGAUUUUGCAAUCAGAUUUUUACUGACGAAUUCUCAGUAGGAGUUUUAUAAUUGAUUCCAGAGAACAAAUCAAGAAAUUCAUAGCAAAACUCUGAAAUAUUAAUAUUGUUUCCUUUCAAACAAUUCAGGAAGAAUGGCUGGAUUAAAAUAUGUCGGUUGCAGAAAGAGAAAAAAAACCCGUGAAACUAUUCUAUAGCCUGUUCCUUCUCCCUAAUGUUUGGAAAAUGACAUGUGCGAAGGUGUUCAUCUGCCAGCCAGGAGCAGAGCCCUCACCAGAGACCAGGCUCUGCGGGACCUUGGUUUGCACUUUCCAACCCCGACAACUGGAAGAACGUAAGAACCUGUCACUGAAGCCAGCCCGUCCACGGCAUUUUCAUGUGGGAACCAAACAGGCCUGGAAGAUUUUGAGCAAAUGCAACCUACAGAAAUCCCAAGAAGUGUCAUCAGGGACAGAAGACCAUUCUUUGCCACUAGAUGAGAGCCACACAACUAAGUCACCUCUCCAGCUGAAAAGCCCGUGCCUGCUCCUUCCUCGGGCAAGCCCAGCUUUGGUGCAGGGUCCUCAAAGGCUGACACUUGUGGGAAGGAGCCAGGAAGGCCAUCGAGGUCCUGUGGACAGGCAGGCGCCAGGUUUGUGUGUUCCUGCCUGCGGGUCAGCAUAUCCUAUAAUGUUUUCAGGAAUCAUAUUUUGCUGCUCCUCCUGUCUUGUAGCAUUUCUAAUUAAAGUACCUGCUUGUCUGAACAGGUUUUCUGAGCCUUCGAAAGACACUUUUGUGUUUAUUUUCCUUCAUUUGUAUUUUUAGUGCCAUUUUUGAUCUUGCCUUCAGCGAAGUAGGAAUACAGGAUGCUUGGGCACAGGGCUGCUAAAGGGCCUGCGGAGUGUCUGGCUACUGCAGGGAUGGGGGACAGCUGCUGAAGGGAGGG
Molecule: long non-coding RNA, 975 nt
Filed under: Heterocephalus glaber (naked mole-rat)
Lineage: Eukaryota; Metazoa; Chordata; Mammalia; Rodentia; Bathyergidae
Description: lncRNA (ENSHGLG00000030623.2)
Source: RNAcentral